This 294-nucleotide signal recognition particle RNA is filed under the name Lynx canadensis (Canada lynx). RNAcentral's name for it is "Metazoan signal recognition particle RNA (ENSLCNG00005013132.1)". It matches the Rfam family "Metazoan signal recognition particle RNA". Rfam says of the family: The signal recognition particle (SRP) is a universally conserved ribonucleoprotein. It is involved in the co-translational targeting of proteins to membranes. The record is from Rfam by way of RNAcentral. Lineage: Eukaryota; Metazoa; Chordata; Mammalia; Carnivora; Felidae.
CUUGAUCGUCUUGCCUGUAAAAGGAUACAUAAAGGUGACAAGGGCUUGUAGUCCCAGCUACUCAGGAGUUCCGGACUGCAGUGAGCUGCGCUGAUCAGGUGUCCACACUAAGUUCCGUGUCAGUAUUGUGACCUCCAGGGAGUGGGGGCACCACAAGGGUUGUCUGAGAAGGGGGUGAACUGACCCAGGUUGGAAACGGAACAGGUCAAAGCUCCUGUGCAGAUCAGCAGUGGGUUCGUGCCUGUGAACAGCCACUGCACUCCAGCCUGAACAGCAUGGUGAGACCCGUAUCUA